Molecule: non-coding RNA, 72 nt
Organism: Myotisia sp. PD_48
Lineage: Eukaryota; Fungi; Ascomycota; Eurotiomycetes; Onygenales
Source: the annotation of a GenBank genome assembly
AGCAUGUUAGCUAAGUGGUAUAGCGCUGGGCUCAUAACCCAGAGGUCCCUGGAUCGAAACCAGGACAUGCUA